This 255-nucleotide long non-coding RNA is filed under the name Mytilus galloprovincialis (Mediterranean mussel). Lineage: Eukaryota; Metazoa; Mollusca; Bivalvia; Mytilida; Mytilidae. The record is from RNAcentral.
AGCUAGGUCCUGUAAUAGGUGUCGUCCAGGACGAAGGUCUGGGAAUUUAAAAAUGCCAUGCAUUGGAAAAUUAGGGAUUAUUGGAUAGGAGCAGAAAUUUUGCCUUUCAGUAGACCAACUACGAACUCCUCAAAGAGUUGCAUUCUCUCUACAACUAGGCAUCGGAUUUAAUGUCCCCAUUCUGACCAGACGUGACAGCGUACUUAUACAUCCUGCACAGCCAAACGGACGACCAACAUUGGCAAGUCGGGUGAA